RNAcentral lists this transfer RNA (72 nucleotides) under Camelus bactrianus (Bactrian camel). It matches the Rfam family "tRNA". From Rfam's summary of the family: Transfer RNA (tRNA) molecules are approximately 80 nucleotides in length. Their secondary structure includes four short double-helical elements and three loops (D, anti-codon, and T loops). Further hydrogen bonds mediate the characteristic L-shaped molecular structure. tRNAs have two regions of fundamental functional importance: the anti-codon, which is responsible for specific mRNA codon recognition, and the 3' end, to which the tRNAs corresponding amino acid is attached (by aminoacyl-tRNA synthetases). tRNAs cope with the degeneracy of the genetic code in two manners: having more than one tRNA (with a specific anti-codon) for a particular amino acid; and 'wobble' base-pairing, i.e. permitting non-standard base-pairing at the 3rd anti-codon position. RNAcentral also lists the same sequence under 1 other name. Lineage: Eukaryota; Metazoa; Chordata; Mammalia; Artiodactyla; Camelidae. The record is from Rfam by way of RNAcentral.
GUGGGUAUAGCUUAGUGGUAGAGCAUGUGCUUGGCAUGCAUGAGGUCCUGGGUUUAAUCCCCAGUGCCUCCG